Molecule: small nuclear RNA, 165 nt
Organism: Monodelphis domestica (gray short-tailed opossum)
Lineage: Eukaryota; Metazoa; Chordata; Mammalia; Didelphimorphia; Didelphidae
Gene: U1
Rfam family: U1 spliceosomal RNA
About the family: U1 is a small nuclear RNA (snRNA) component of the spliceosome (involved in pre-mRNA splicing). Its 5' end forms complementary base pairs with the 5' splice junction, thus defining the 5' donor site of an intron.
Source: Ensembl
AUACUUGCCAGGCAGGGGGGUUUCCACAAUCAUGGAGGUGAUUUCCCCAGUGUGAGACUUAUCCUUUGCAUUCCAGAUGAGCCAACCAUUGUGAUAUCCCCUAAUUUAGGAAACUGGACUGCAUGAUUUGUGUUAGUGAGGGGACUCCAUUUGUGCUCCCUCCUG